CUGUGGGGAGCUCGCCCCGGGAAGUGUACUGAAGGAGCCUCAUCUCAACCUGGCGCAGAUGAGGAAACCUCAGACCUGCAGAGAAUACCACAGCUGGAGGAGACUCGGAGCUCCAGGGGUGGGCCAGAGAAAAAAGUGGUGGGAGGAAACUACAGAAGAUGAAGAGGAAAUAGGCUGGAGUCUGAUUAUGAAAUAGCUUGAAGAGAAGGAGAUUCUGACUACUGGAGACAUGAAUCUACAGUUUGAUAGGAAGAAAAAUUUGAGAGACUCAUCCACAGCAAUACACACUUUGGUAAAGUUACGUGUGAACAUAGUUAGAGCGAGAGUAGAUUUUUAAAUGUUCUCAUCAGAAAAAGGGAUA
Molecule: long non-coding RNA, 361 nt
Organism: Urocitellus parryii (Arctic ground squirrel)
Lineage: Eukaryota; Metazoa; Chordata; Mammalia; Rodentia; Sciuridae
Source: RefSeq, a predicted model, not a curated record